AAACCUGGCAGGAGGCCUAACACAUGCAAGUCGAGCGCGCCCUUCGGGGUGAGCGGCGGACGGGUUAGUAACGCGUGGGAACGUGCCCUUUGGUACGGAAUAGCCUCUGGAAACGGAGAGUAAUACCGUAUGAGCCCUUCGGGGGAAAGAUUUAUCGCCAAAGGAUCGGCCCGCGUUAGAUUAGGUAGUUGGUGGGGUAAUGGCCUACCAAGCCUACGAUCUAUAGCUGGUUUUAGAGGAUGAUCAGCAACACUGGGACUGAGACACGGCCCAGACUCCUACGGGAGGCAGCAGUGGGGAAUCUUGGACAAUGGGGGCAACCCUGAUCCAGCCAUGCCGCGUGGGUGAUGAAGGCCUUAGGGUCGUAAAGCUCUUUCGCCUGUGAAGAUAAUGACGGUAGCAGGUAAAGAAACCCCGGCUAACUCCGUGCCAGCAGCCGCGGUAAUACGGAGGGGGUUAGCGUUGUUCGGAAUUACUGGGCGUAAAGCGCACGUAGGCGGACCAAAAAGUUGGGGGUGAAAUCCCGGGGCUCAACCCCGGAACUGCCUCCAAAACUGUUGGUCUAGAGUUCGAGAGAGGUGAGUGGAAUUCCGAGUGUAGAGGUGAAAUUCGUAGAUAUUCGGAGGAACACCAGUGGCGAAGGCGGCUCACUGGCUCGAUACUGACGCUGAGGUGCGAAAGUGUGGGGAGCAAACAGGAUUAUAUACCCUGGUAGUCCACACCGUAAACGAUGAAUGCCAGUCGUCGGGUAGCAUGCUAUUCGGUGACACACCUAACGGAUUAAGCAUUCCAGCCUGGUGAAGUACGGUCGCAAGAUUAGAACUUCAAAUGACUGACGG
This 839-nucleotide ribosomal RNA is filed under the name uncultured bacterium. RNAcentral describes it as "bacterial SSU rRNA". It matches the Rfam family "Bacterial small subunit ribosomal RNA", at positions 31 to 916 of the family's 1533-position model. The record is from RNAcentral.